Molecule: ribosomal RNA, 402 nt
Filed under: uncultured bacterium
Lineage: Bacteria
Description: bacterial SSU rRNA
Rfam family: Bacterial small subunit ribosomal RNA
Source: RNAcentral
AGGGAAUAUUGCAAAAUGGGCGAAAGCCCGAUGCAGCAACGCCGCGUGGGCGAUGAAGGCCUUCGGGUCGUAAAGCCCUUUUUGAGGGGAUGAGGAAGGACAGUACCCUCAGAAUAAGCCUCGGCUAACUACGUGCCAGCAGCCGCGGUAAAACGUAGGAGGCGAGCGUUAUCCGGAUUUACUGGGCGUAAAGCGCGUGCAGGCGGAUUGGAGAGUUGGAUGUGAAAGCUCCCGGCUUAACUGGGAGAGGUCGUUCAAUACUUCCAGUCUUGAGUGCAGUAGAGGGAAGUGGAAUUCCGGGUGUAGUGGUGAAAUGCGUAGAUAUCCGGAGGAACACCAGUGGCGGAAGCGGCUUCCUGGACUGUAACUGACGCUCAGACGCGAAAGCUAGGGUAGCAAACG